AAGUCGUAACAAGGUUUCCGUAGGUGAACCUGCGGAAGGAUCAUUGGGGGAGAUUUGAGAGAGCGUUGGAAUGAAUGAGUACUGAUUACAUUACACUAUCUACCAUACACAACAACUGCUGACAAUGGAUCUCUGGGCUCUU
RNAcentral lists this unclassified non-coding RNA (142 nucleotides) under fungal sp. RNAcentral describes it as "partial internal transcribed spacer region". The stretch from base 1 to 46 matches the Rfam family "Eukaryotic small subunit ribosomal RNA", at positions 1786 to 1831 of the family's 1831-position model. RNAcentral also lists the same sequence under 1 other name. The record is from RNAcentral. Lineage: Eukaryota; Fungi.